Molecule: small RNA, 140 nt
Filed under: Paenibacillus xerothermodurans
Lineage: Bacteria; Bacillati; Bacillota; Bacilli; Caryophanales; Paenibacillaceae
Description: Bacillus xerothermodurans c-di-AMP sequence
Rfam family: c-di-AMP riboswitch aptamer (ydaO/yuaA leader)
About the family: This family represents a conserved RNA structure found upstream of the ydaO and yuaA genes in Bacillus subtilis and related genes in other bacteria. The ydaO/yuaA element is thought to act as a genetic "off" switch for the ydaO and yuaA genes in its native state.
Source: RNAcentral
CUAAAAAACAGGCCGAAUCCAGUUCAGCACAAGAGCUGGUACGGGGGAUUAUUUCAAUGGGGUGAAUGUUCGAGUGUCUGCGAACUAGGGAAGCCUCUUCCCGAAUCCGUCAACUAACCUCGAAGGCCGCAGGAGGAAUU